RNAcentral lists this ribosomal RNA (429 nucleotides) under Chloroflexota bacterium. Its description in RNAcentral is "Chloroflexi bacterium partial 16S ribosomal RNA". It matches the Rfam family "Bacterial small subunit ribosomal RNA", at positions 355 to 776 of the family's 1533-position model. Lineage: Bacteria; Bacillati; Chloroflexota. The record is from RNAcentral.
UGGGGAAUAUUGCACAAUGGGCGCAAGCCUGAUGCAGCCAUGCCGCGUGUGUGAAGAAGGCCUUCGGGUUGUAAAGCACUUUCAGCGGGGAGGAAGGCGUUAAGGUUAAUAACCUUGGCGAUUGACGUUACCCGCAGAAGAAGCACCGGCUAACUCCGUGCCAGCAGCCGCGGUAAUACGGAGGGUGCAAGCGUUAAUCGGAAUUACUGGGCGUAAAGCGCACGCAGGCGGUCUGUCAAGUCGGAUGUGAAAUCCCCGCGCUCAACCUGGGAACUGCCUUCGAAACUGGCAGGCUAGAGUCUUGUAGAGGGGGGUAGAAUUCCAGGUGUGGCGGUGAAAUGCGUAGAGAUCUGGAGGAAUACCGGUGGCGAAGGCGGCCCCCUGGCCAAAGACUGCCGCUCGGGUGCGAAAGCGUGGGGAGCAAACAGG